This 741-nucleotide long non-coding RNA is filed under the name Carica papaya (papaya). RNAcentral's name for it is "long non-coding RNA (CPAP_LNC013175)". Lineage: Eukaryota; Viridiplantae; Streptophyta; Magnoliopsida; Brassicales; Caricaceae. The record is from RNAcentral.
UAUCUUCCUCGACAUUUGCUUUAAUCAUGGCCAUUUCCAUUUGUUUAUAGUACUCCUCAACACUCUUGGAACCUUGCAUAAGAUUUUGAAGUUGAUUGUACAAUUUUUUAUAGUAAUAGCUUGGUAUAAAUCUUUUUCUCAUUAUAGACUUCAAAUCUCUCCAUUCUUCAAUGGGUCUUUCCCUAUUUCUUCUCCGCUUCUUCUUUGUAUCAUCCCAACAAGUAAUAGCAUAGUCUUCAAAAAUAGUAACACCAAGUUGUAACUUCUUGGAUUUAGUGUAGUUAUUGCAAUCAAAUACUAGUUCAAUAUUCUUUUCCCUAUCCAAGUAAGCUUUAGGACCAUUCUUCCAUGAAAUGAUGGAAUCUUUAAUUUAACACCACUAAAGCUACUAUUACUAUUAUUUCUUGCUCUCAGUUGCACCUCCUCUUUUUCUUCAUUAUCACUACGUGAUUCAUCAUCUUUAAAGUCAUUACCCUCUUGAACUCUAUUUGGAAAUCUCCUACCACGCAUGGCUGGACUAGGAGCAUUAGGUGGCUACUCCCUUGUAACCAAAACUUUUAGCCUCUCUAUUCGAUCAAUAAUCUCACCAUAUAUUUUAUCCAUAGCUUGCAUCAGUUCCAUUAAGGUUUGAAACCUAUCUAUCUCAUUUUGGGGAUUAUUUGCUUAUCCAUUCAUCUUAUAUUAAGCUGCAAAACAAAGUUAGUAAAGCAAAAGAAUAGUUCCUCACUUCACUCCCUCACG